GCUGUGAUGGCCGAGUGGUUAAGGCGUUGGAUUUGAAAUCCAAUGGGGUUUCACCGCAGGUUCGCCCUGCUCUCAGCG
Non-coding RNA from Dallia pectoralis (Alaska blackfish), 78 nucleotides. The record is from the annotation of a GenBank genome assembly. NCBI's taxonomy places the organism in Eukaryota, Metazoa, Chordata, Actinopteri, Esociformes, Umbridae.